GUACUAGCCUGCCGAUUCCUCCUUCUUGUAGAACUGUAAUGUCAUUAAUUUGGUGUUGCAGGGAAACAGGACUGUUACUUUGAAAAAAUUAGAGUGUUUAAAGCAAGCUAACGCUUGAAUACAUUAGCAUGGAAUAAUGAAAUAGGACGUUAAUCCUAUUUUGUUGGUUUCCAGGAUCGACGUAAUGAUUAAUAGGGAUAGUUGGGGGCAUUAGUAUUCAAUUGUCAGAGGUGAAAUUCUUGGAUUUAUUGAAGACUAACUACUGCGAAAGCAUUUGCCAAGGAUGUUUUCAUUAAUCAAGAACGAAAGUUAGGGGAUCGAAGACGAUCAGAUACCGUCGUAGUCUUAACCAUAAACUAUGCCGACUAGGGAUCGGAUGAUGUUAAUUUUUUAAUGACUC
RNAcentral lists this ribosomal RNA (400 nucleotides) under uncultured Glomeromycotina. RNAcentral describes it as "SSU rRNA". It matches the Rfam family "Eukaryotic small subunit ribosomal RNA", at positions 678 to 1077 of the family's 1831-position model. Lineage: Eukaryota; Fungi; Glomeromycota. The record is from RNAcentral.